AUGGAGGAGAGGCUGAAACUAAGUCGCGACAGCACGACGGAGGAAGUGGAUGCUACGCAGUACCGACGCCUUGUGGGGAGCCUUCGCUACCUCACUCACACACGGCCGGACUUGGCAUUCUCCGUCGGCUAUGUCAGUCGGUUCAUGGAGCGACCAACGUCGGAACACCAGCAGGCAGUGAAGAGGAUCGUCCGCUACAUAGCAGGGACCCUCGACCACGGCCUCCAUUACCCUAGGUGCCCUGGGGCGGCACACUUCGUCGGGUACAGCGACAGCGACCACGCCGGCGACAUCGACACCAGCAAGAGCACGAGCGGGAUCCUCCUCUUCCUCGGCAAGUGUCUCGUGAGCUGGCAAUCAGUCAAGCAGCAGGUGGUGGCCCUGUCCAGCUGUGAGGCUGAGUACAUAGCGGCCUCCACCGCCUGUACUCAGGCGCUCUGGCUUGCUCGACUGCUUGGUGAUCUCGUUCAAGACACCAGAACGGUGCAGCUCCUGGUGGACAGCAAGUCCGCCCUGGCCCUGGCAAAGAACCCCGUGUUCCACGAACGGAGCAAGCACGUCCGACUGAGGUAUCACUUCAUCCGCAGCUGUGUGGAAGAAGGGAGCAUCAAGGCGAGCUACAUCAACACCAAGGAUCAGCUCGCAGACCUGCUCACCAAGCCCCUUGGGAGGGUCAAGUUCCUCGAACUUUGCUCCAGGAUUGGGAUGAUUCAACUCUCCCACAAGACGACGUACAAGACUUAG
This 744-nucleotide ribosomal RNA is filed under the name Triticum aestivum (bread wheat). Its description in RNAcentral is "partial small subunit ribosomal RNA". The record is from RNAcentral. Lineage: Eukaryota; Viridiplantae; Streptophyta; Magnoliopsida; Poales; Poaceae.